Long non-coding RNA from Oncorhynchus tshawytscha (Chinook salmon), 1256 nucleotides. Lineage: Eukaryota; Metazoa; Chordata; Actinopteri; Salmoniformes; Salmonidae. The record is from Ensembl.
GAUACUUGUAUCCGUAACACUAUAUACAGGGUAUUACGGUACAGAGUCAAUGUGGAGGCUAUAUACAGGGUAUUACGGUACAGAGUCAAUGUGGAGACUAUAUACAGGGUAUUACGGUACAGAGUCAAUGUGGAGACUAUAUACAGGGUAUUACGGUACAGGGUCAAUAUGGAGACUAUAUACAAGGUAUUACGGUACAGAGUCAAUGUGGAGACUAUAUACAGGGUAUUACGGUACAGGGUCAAUGUGAAGGCUAUAUACAGGGGGUAUUACGGUACAGGGUCAAUGUGGAGGCUAUAUACAGGGGGUACCGGUACAGAGUCAAUGUGGAGACUAUAUACAGGGUAUUACGGUACAGGGUCAAUGUGGAGGCUAUAUACAAGGUAUUACGGUACAGGGUCAAUGUGGAGACUAUAUACAGGGGGUACCAGUACAGAGUCAAUGUGGAGACUAUAUACAGGGGGUACCGGUACAGAGUCAAUGUGGAGGUUAUAUACAGGGGGUACCGGUACAGAGUUAAUGUGGAGGCUAUAUACAGGGGUACCGGUACAGAGUCAAUGUGGAGGCUAUAUACAGGGGGUACCGGUACAGAGUCAAUGUGGAGGCUAUAUACAGGGUGUUACGGUACAGAGUCAAUGUGGAGACUAUAUACAGGGUGUUACGGUACAGAGUCAAUGUGGAGACUAUAUACAGGGGGUACCGGUACAGAGAAUGUGUGGGGACACUGGUUAGUCGAGUUAAUAUAUAUAUGUAGGCAGAGAUAUUAAAGUGACUAUGCAUAGAGAGAGUGGCAGCAAAUAGUCUGGGUAGUCAUUUGAUUAGAUGUUCAGGAGUCUUAUGACUUGGGGGUAGAAUCUGUUUAGAAGCCUCUUGGACCUAGACUUGGCGCUCCGGUACCGCUUGCCGUGCGGUAGCAGAGAGAACUGUAGCUGUGGUUCCACUGGCAAUCCCAGCCUAGGAAUGUUGAAGCCCCCAAAGUGAAAAUGAAAAUCUUCUCCAUGGUUAAAGGGAAUGAGUUCCCCACUGAAAAAAAGGGAAGGGGGAGAAAUUAAAGUUCAUAAGUAACACAAUACUCUUAAGUGAAAGUAGUUUGGGAUUUAAUAUAUCUAUUACAUUUUUGGGGGGCCCAUGGAAGAAUAAGGCGACAAAAUGCUGUCCCACAGUUGUGAGAGUGAAUAAGUGAUGUUUUACUGAUGUGGGCCAUGUUACUUCGAUGAUCAUGGUUUUGCAUCUAACCUUCCACCUCCAGCAGCCAG